Molecule: ribosomal RNA, 253 nt
Filed under: uncultured bacterium
Lineage: Bacteria
Description: partial 16S ribosomal RNA
Rfam family: Bacterial small subunit ribosomal RNA
Source: RNAcentral
UACGGAGGGGGCUAGCGUUGUUCGGAAUUACUGGGCGUAAAGCGCGCGUAGGCGGACCUGCAAGUCGGGGGUGAAAGCCCGAGGCUCAACCUCGGAACUGCCUUCGAUACUGCGGGUCUCGAGUCCGGGAGAGGUGAGUGGAAUUCCUAGCGUAGAGGUGAAAUUCGUAGAUAUUAGGAAGAACACCAGUGGCGAAGGCGGCUCACGGGCCCGGUACUGACGUUGAGGCGCGAAAGCGUGGGGAGCAAACAGG